CCAUCUCCCUGCUUCUUUGCACUACGCAUCUCAUCACACACGCACUGCUCCUCCUCAUACAGGCUCCCUGCCCACCAGCUCCGCUCGCGCUACCGGCCCUGCCCAAACACAGAGGUGGUCGCGCAGCCCAGCGGCACCUCCCCAUCCCAUCAGCGCCUCUGAGGGAUGAGAGUAACAAAGCCCGCUGCCACCCCCUCCUUCCUCACCUCACAUUAAUCCGGAAUGUCCUGACAGCCUCCAUAUGCCUACAGCACCUAAAAAGGAACUCCCAUGUGAGGUGGAGGUUGGACGGAGGAAAGAAAAGGUCCCCAGGUCCCUCAAAACAUUGUUCCUAAUAAGGAAGAUCUCUGAGUGUGCUGCUAAGGAAUUAAGAACCCCAAGCCUUCUAUUGCCAUGCCUGGGCAGUGUUUCACUGUAUCACCUUUCAAAAUGGGCCCUACAAAGAUCCUCCUGCGCUGGCUGAUUCCUCAGAGGGGUGGCAGAAGGCGGUUUUAUUCUAUUUUGCUGCAUUCAUCCAUUUCUCCUUCCAGUCCCAACAACAACAGCAGCACCCACCACACCCGCUGCCACCACCCACAGCAGCCAGCUCACCAGCAAGGACAUCUCCCGGCACAGCCCGCAUCCAGCAGAACCCACCACACGCACUGUCACCACCCAGAGCAGCCACGGCACCAAGAAGGACAACUCACAACAGGGUGCAGAUCCAGGUAACCCAGCACUGGGGAGGCAGGGGCUCUGCCUGCAGUGCUUCUGUGAUCAGAAGGGGCCAAAUUAAUGUCUGUGCUGGCUACAGGCAUUUCAGAACGCAGGGACAUGUCUGCAGCAGAGCCUUUCCUCCUUCCUCUCUCUCCUUUCUUCCUGCAGGAACAAGCAACGAGAACACACUGAGUUCCUGCUGUAAAUUGAUCCUGUGGGUUAACCUGGCUUGUGCCUGCCUCCUGCUCCUCACUGCCAUAACCAUCACCAUCGUGCUCUGCCAAAGUAAGUCGCACCCUCACACCAAAGAGCACAGCCCGCUCCUCCAGGGGAAGGGGCUCUCUGCCUAUUGCCCUCACGCACCUAUUGCGUAUCCAGGACACAGGCAAUACAAAGGGACGGCUCUUAAAAUUCUUUUCUAGACUUUCCUCAUCUAUAGAUUCAGCUUGAAAAGUAUUUAUCCCAUACUACACUGUGAGACAAUAAUUGAAAACACAGAAACCUGAUUCUACCAGACUACACUGUCUCCACCAUCCUGAAAUACAUAUAUCAUGGCUGGAAGUAGCAAAACCCAAAGC
RNAcentral lists this long non-coding RNA (1274 nucleotides) under Numida meleagris (helmeted guineafowl). RNAcentral's name for it is "lncRNA (ENSNMEG00000001568.1)". Lineage: Eukaryota; Metazoa; Chordata; Aves; Galliformes; Numididae. The record is from RNAcentral.